This is a long non-coding RNA of Lemur catta (Ring-tailed lemur), 322 nucleotides long. RefSeq lists it as uncharacterized. Lineage: Eukaryota; Metazoa; Chordata; Mammalia; Primates; Lemuridae. The record is from RefSeq and is a predicted model, not a curated record. The transcript is spliced from 3 exons.
GUCAGGUUGUGGUGAAAGGAGCACCCUUCUCCAGGCCCCUUCCGUGGGGCAUGGUGGGCUGACCUGUCCCCUCCUUCCUCCUCAGUGCCAGGAAGUCUUUGGGAGAGAGGUGCCUGUGGGACAUCUGCGCGGAGAGCAGAGUUAACUCUGGAUAUGCAACCAGGAGGGUGAGGAUCUAGUCCGGAGAUACUGACUGGUAAGAAAAAAGCUAUGGGUGAAGAGGCCCAGGAAGAGGCGGUCCCGCUACGCAGCAGCACCAUAGCCCUUUUAAGAAGCGCGGAAACCGCCCCCCCUUCCCACCCCAAUGUUUAAUAUACCGAAG